RNAcentral lists this long non-coding RNA (679 nucleotides) under Pongo abelii (Sumatran orangutan). Its description in RNAcentral is "lincRNA". Lineage: Eukaryota; Metazoa; Chordata; Mammalia; Primates; Hominidae. The record is from RNAcentral.
AGGAAUGUGCAUCACAAACACAGCCAAUCCCAGGCUGCUCUGUCUGGGGACCGUCAGAGGACACUGCCCUCUUGCCUGGUACAGAAGGAGACAGUGAUUAUUUGGCUGUGGGUAUGGCACGGACUCUGGCACGUGAAGGAGUCUCUGAAGUUAGCACCAUUCUAAGAAUCCAAACUCUACAAGCAGAGGCUACCAAGCGCAGAGGCGUGGCGCCCAAGGUCACACAGGUAACACACACGUGGAGCUCGGGGUUAAAGCCAGGCAGCCUGAGACCUGAGGUCACCUCAUGUCACCAUAGGAGGCUCUGCCAAUUGCCCUGGGGGACACACACACCUGUGGCUGCUUCCAACAGCUGUGUCCAUCCUCAGAGGAGGAAGGCGAUUCACAUUUGAGGCUCUUCAGAAUAAUGUGCCCGGCUCUAAGGCAGCUUCCAAAGAGGACAUUCAGCCUGCUAUGGCUGUGAAGAUUUUCAACCUGAUGUCAUCCACUGUGAGGCAGAGGUUCUGGCAUUUUGUGGACAAAGCAGCCGGGAUUCUGUCACCUCGCUCUGCAUACACCAGCAUUUAAUGCAAGUGGAAGGAGGGCCCGGGAUACUCAUGCUGUGACCUGAUAAAUGGCAUGCAGAGGAGUCUGCGAUUUUCUCAGGCCAGGCAUGGGGAGCUAUCAGAGCCAUCCAAAU